RNAcentral lists this ribosomal RNA (492 nucleotides) under uncultured bacterium. RNAcentral describes it as "partial 16S ribosomal RNA". It matches the Rfam family "Bacterial small subunit ribosomal RNA", at positions 29 to 507 of the family's 1533-position model. The record is from RNAcentral.
AGUGAACGCUGGCGGUAGGCCUAACACAUGCAAGUCGAACGGCAGCACAGUAAGAGCUUGCUCUUACGGGUGGCGAGUGGCGGACGGGUGAGGAAUACAUCGGAAUCUACUUUUUCGUGGGGGAUAACGUAGGGAAACUUACGCUAAUACCGCAUACGACCUACGGGUGAAAGCAGGGGAUCUUCGGACCUUGCGCGAUUGAAUGAGCCGAUGUCGGAUUAGCUAGUUGGCGGGGUAAAGGCCCACCAAGGCGACGAUCCGUAGCUGGUCUGAGAGGAUGAUUCGCCAACAUUGAACUGAGACACGGUCCAGACUCCUACGGGAGGCAGCAGUGGGGAAUAUUGGACAAUGGGCGCAAGCCUGAUCCAGCCAUACCGCGUGGGUGAAGAAGGCCUUCGGGUUGUAAAGCCCUUUUGUUGGGAAAGAAAAGCAGCAGGUUAAUACCCCGCUGUUCUGACGGUACCCAAAGAAUAAGCACCGGCUAACUUCGUG